ACAGAAAGACAGGCAGGCAGACAGGCAGACAGACAGUUAGCUUUUCUCAGAGAGAAAGAGACGAAGAGGAUUUCAAUAAAUGUUGAACUGUUUCUUUAAGGUGUCGAGCUGUUUAUUGACGACUAUUAUAUAUAUAUAUAUAUAUAUAUAUAUAUAUAUAUACUAUAAUAUCUGAUCGUCUGACAGCUUUACAAGUACGUAUCUCCAACAUUUUAACUUUUUCAGAACGUGUUUUGUGAUUUUUAAAGUUGUGAAUGAAGUCGGAGACGUUUAAUUCUUCAACUGAUCUGAAAACAGAAAACUAAAACAUGUAUUUGGAGAUACACGGUUUUUAAGUUUGACUUUUUAUGUUUAUUCUUGUUUUCAUUGAAGAACAGCUGACUGAUAUUUAAAGAUCAGCUGGUCGAUAACAUUUAGGUAACUUUCCAUCAGUGGAACCAAACAGAGAAACAUGGUGCUAAACAGACGCCGGGAAACCUUAAAAACCUUAAAACAUUCCUCUAAUAUUCCACCAAUCAUUCCCAAACUCUCUAACUGUAUACCAGCCUUGAGGUUCCUCGUAGUUUAUACUACUGUUUCUACUACCCCUUACGUUCCCCUAGAGUUCCCCUUAAGUCCUGUCUAAGUUCCCCUCAAGUCCCCCUAGAGUUCCCCUUCUAAGUUCCCCUUAAGUUCCCCUAGAGUCCCCCUAUAGUUCCUCUCUAAGUUCCCUUCUAAGUCUCCCUAUAGUUCCCCUCUAGGUCCCCCUAUAAGUUUGCCCUCUAAAUCCCCCUUAAGUCCCCAUUAAGUCCCCUCUAAGUUCCCCUAGAGUUCCCCUCUAAGUUCCCCUUAAGUUCCCCUAUAGUCCCCCUUAAGUUCCCCUCUAAGUUCUCCUAAGGUUCUCCUAAUUUCCUCUCUGUUGUUGUAAUAAAAUAUAUUUGAUUUCCAGACCCAAACGAUAAUCUGCAGGUUUUGGGGAUUUGUUAAGUUUUAUUUUCAUUUGUUGUUUAAAAUGUGCAGUCAGUGUGUUUAUCGACUUCCUGUUGAUGUUUAUUAACUGCUUAUUAACGACACAUUAUUAAUAACAACUAUUAUCUUUAUUAUCUGCAACAACGACAGAAACUCGGAUCGAACGGUUCGACGAUGUUUCAGGUUUAAUAAAGUCGGUUUUGGUAUUUUAUUUCAUUCUGCUGCCAAAGAACAUUUAAUAAAGUCUGUAUGACCACU
Molecule: long non-coding RNA, 1206 nt
Organism: Sander lucioperca (pikeperch)
Lineage: Eukaryota; Metazoa; Chordata; Actinopteri; Perciformes; Percidae
Exons: 2
Source: RefSeq, a predicted model, not a curated record